This 252-nucleotide ribosomal RNA is filed under the name uncultured bacterium. RNAcentral's name for it is "partial 16S ribosomal RNA". It matches the Rfam family "Bacterial small subunit ribosomal RNA", at positions 525 to 776 of the family's 1533-position model. The record is from RNAcentral.
ACGGAGGGUGCAAGCGUUAAUCGGAAUCACUGGGCGUAAAGCGCACGUAGGCUGUCGUGUAAGUCAGGGGUGAAAGCCCACGGCUCAACCGUGGAAUUGCCCUUGAUACUGCAUGACUGGAAUCCGGGAGAGGGUAGUGGAAUUCCAGGUGUAGGAGUGAAAUCCGUAGAUAUCUGGAGGAACAUCAGUGGCGAAGGCGACUACCUGGACCGGUAUUGACGCUGAGGUGCGAAAGCGUGGGGAGCAAACAGG